UGGGGAAUAUUGCACAAUGGAGGGAACUCUGAUGCAGCGACGCCGCGUGAACGAAGAAGGCUUUCGAGUCGUAAAGUUCUUUUAUAUGGGAAGAUAAUGACGGUACCAUAAGAAAAAGCCCCGGCUAACUACGUGCCAGCAGCCGCGGUAAUACGUAGGGGGCUAGCGUUGUCCGGAAUCACUGGGCGUAAAGGGUUCGCAGGCGGAAAUGCAAGUCAGGUGUAAAAGGCAGUAGCUUAACUACUGUAAGCAUUUGAAACUGCAUAUCUUGAGAAGAGUAGAGGUAAGUGGAAUUUUUAGUGUAGCGGUGAAAUGCGUAGAUAUAUGGAGGAACACCGGUGGCGAAAGCGGCUCUCUGGUCUGUAACUGACGCUGAGGCUCGAAAGCGUGGGGAGCGAACAGG
RNAcentral lists this ribosomal RNA (403 nucleotides) under Bacteroidota bacterium. RNAcentral's name for it is "Bacteroidetes bacterium partial 16S ribosomal RNA". It matches the Rfam family "Bacterial small subunit ribosomal RNA", at positions 355 to 776 of the family's 1533-position model. Lineage: Bacteria; Pseudomonadati; Bacteroidota. The record is from RNAcentral.